This 267-nucleotide ribosomal RNA is filed under the name uncultured bacterium. Its description in RNAcentral is "partial 16S ribosomal RNA". It matches the Rfam family "Bacterial small subunit ribosomal RNA", at positions 793 to 1055 of the family's 1533-position model. The record is from RNAcentral.
GUCCACGCCUUAAACGAUGGAAGCUAGCCGUCGGUAAGUUUACUUAUCGGUGGCGCAGCUAACGCAUUAAGCUUCCCGCCUGGGGAGUACGGUCGCAAGAUUAAAAACUCAAAGGAAUUGACGGGGGCCCGCACAAGCGGUGGAGCAUGUGGUUUAAUUCGAAGCAACGCGCAGAACCUUACCAGCCCUUGACAUCCCGGUCGCGGGUUCGAGAGAUCGAACCCUUCAGUUCGGCUGGACCGGUGACAGGUGCUGCAUGGCUGUCGU